UACGUAGGGUGCAAGCGUUGUCCGGAAUUAUUGGGCGUAAAGAGCUCGUAGGCGGCUUGUCGCGUCGGCUGUGAAAACCUGGGGCUCAACCCCGGGCCUGCAGCCGAUACGGGCAAGCUAGAGUUCGGUAGGGGAGACUGGAAUUCCUGGUGUAGCGGUGAAAUGCGCAGAUAUCGGAAGGAACACCAGUGGCGAAAGCGGCUUCCUGGUCCAGCACCGACGUUCAGGCACGAAAGCGUGGGGAGCAAACAGG
Molecule: ribosomal RNA, 253 nt
Filed under: uncultured bacterium
Lineage: Bacteria
Description: partial 16S ribosomal RNA
Rfam family: Bacterial small subunit ribosomal RNA
Source: RNAcentral